GUCCUUGUCGAUUAGUGGUUAGAUCAUCACGUUGUGGAAGUACAAUACCGUGAAGACGGAGGCUCGAAUCCUCCCUGGGACA
RNAcentral lists this transfer RNA (82 nucleotides) under Trametes cinnabarina. RNAcentral describes it as "Pycnoporus cinnabarinus tRNA". It matches the Rfam family "tRNA". Rfam says of the family: Transfer RNA (tRNA) molecules are approximately 80 nucleotides in length. Their secondary structure includes four short double-helical elements and three loops (D, anti-codon, and T loops). Further hydrogen bonds mediate the characteristic L-shaped molecular structure. tRNAs have two regions of fundamental functional importance: the anti-codon, which is responsible for specific mRNA codon recognition, and the 3' end, to which the tRNAs corresponding amino acid is attached (by aminoacyl-tRNA synthetases). tRNAs cope with the degeneracy of the genetic code in two manners: having more than one tRNA (with a specific anti-codon) for a particular amino acid; and 'wobble' base-pairing, i.e. permitting non-standard base-pairing at the 3rd anti-codon position. Lineage: Eukaryota; Fungi; Basidiomycota; Agaricomycetes; Polyporales; Polyporaceae. The record is from Rfam by way of RNAcentral.